ACGAUGGUGUGUAAGUCGCUUCGGCGUCGUGUUUUUAACGGUCGGUGUCCGCGUUCGAACGAGCGGGAAAGGUCCAUUUAGUUCGAUGAUCGAUGCGGGAGCUUAUCGAACAUCUUGUCAUCGUUGUCGGGCCGCGGUAAACGAUGUUCGGUGGUAGUUCGAGAGCGACGAACGCGAGGAAAGGAAAAAGGUGGGAGAAGAAGGAAGAGGAACGAGAAGGAGAUUGUAAGAUAGCGGGCGGAUCACAGGUCCCGCAACCAAAAGCAACGACGCCUAUGCAGCACGUUUAUAUGCGGCAGUUUAUUUCGGCGAGAACGAUACUUUGGAGCUUCGGGAGGAGGAGGAGGAAGAGAAGAGGAGACAAAGAAAAGAAACAAGGUGAUCGAGAGAGAGAGAGAGAGAGAAAGAUGCGCGAGCAAUGUUACAUCAAGUGCAAAUGAAAGGCAUGGUGAUGCAAGUCAAUGAUGAGGAAAAGGAGGAAGGGCAGGAGAGGCGGCGGCGUUCGCCAGAUACGGCCUCCGCGCGCGAAUCCAUCGGGGAAGGUGGAUGGUAUCUGGGGAUACCGGAGGCCGCGCGGCGGUGUAAAUGCAAUCAAGAGGGCCUCAAUUAGACCGUCACGCUGUACAUCCCUCAUUUCAAAGUCCCUCGGCUUCUCUCUCUCGGGCUCAUCUUCGCCACGUCCACGUCCCCGGUCUCCCGACCAUCGAUUUCGUCUUCCUCUUCUGGAUCCUGAGGCGGGAAGGAGAGGAGCGCGACGUUGGAACUUUGUUACGAGAUAAACGAUUAAGGUGGUUUUGGCGGAGGCGCAUACAUAUUCGAGAAUAUGCGUAAGAAGCUGCGAGGGAAGGAACAUAGGUUGCAGCAUGCUACACCGAGAUAGCGGGGAUUCGGCCUAAUCUAUGCUGUUUGGGACCGAAAAGCAACAUUGGCUGCUAUAAGUUUAUAUGAGGCAAAUAUAGAAAUGCUAGACCAUCCAAGAAAAAAAGAAAAGUAUGGGACGCAAUAAGAACUGGACUACUGCAGUUAGGAAUAAAGGUAUUUUACUUUCUUUGUCAAUAAUAGUAUAACUAUUAUUGACUAAACAUUUACAUGAUAUUAGGUGCUGAACAAAUUUUAAAGAUUUUAUCACGUGACUAAAUUUUGAAUAUCUAUGACAACAUAUCACCUUAUCUCUCAGUUCGUGUCUACACUCAAUCACGACACAACGAAAUAAGUAAUAGACAUUAUUCAUGCUGAAGUGUUAAUUGUU
Long non-coding RNA from Pseudomyrmex gracilis, 1249 nucleotides. RefSeq lists it as uncharacterized. The transcript has 3 exons. The record is from RefSeq and is a predicted model, not a curated record. NCBI's taxonomy places the organism in Eukaryota, Metazoa, Arthropoda, Insecta, Hymenoptera, Formicidae.